CCGACCUUAGCUCAGUUGGUAGAGCGGAGGACUGUAGUUGAACGCAGAUGAUCCUUAGGUCGCUGGUUCGAAUCCGGCAGGUCGGA
Molecule: transfer RNA, 86 nt
Filed under: Ipomoea nil (Japanese morning glory)
Lineage: Eukaryota; Viridiplantae; Streptophyta; Magnoliopsida; Solanales; Convolvulaceae
Rfam family: tRNA
About the family: Transfer RNA (tRNA) molecules are approximately 80 nucleotides in length. Their secondary structure includes four short double-helical elements and three loops (D, anti-codon, and T loops).
Source: Rfam by way of RNAcentral